GACGAACGCUGGCGGCGUGCUUAACACAUGCAAGUCGAACGGAAAGGCCCUGCUUUUGUGGGGUGCUCGAGUGGCGAACGGGUGAGUAACACGUGAGUAACCUGCCCUUGACUUUGGGAUAACUUCAGGAAACUGGGGCUAAUACCGGAUAGGAGCUCCUGCUGCAUGGUGGGGGUUGGAAAGUUUCGGCGGGUGGGGAUGGACUCGCGGCUUAUCAGCUUGUUGGUGGGGUAGUGGCUUACCAAGGCUUUGACGGGUAGCCGGCCUGAGAGGGUGACCGGGCACCUUGGGACUGAGGUACGGCCCAGAUUGCUACGGGAGGCAGCAGUGGGGAAUAUUGCACAGUGGGCGGAAGCCUGAUGCAGCAACGCCGCGUGCGGGAUGACGGCCUUCGGGUUGUAAACCGCUUUCGCCUGUGACGAAGCGUGAGUGACGGUAAUGGGUAAAGAAGCACCGGCUAACUACGUG
RNAcentral lists this ribosomal RNA (468 nucleotides) under uncultured bacterium. RNAcentral's name for it is "partial 16S ribosomal RNA". It matches the Rfam family "Bacterial small subunit ribosomal RNA", at positions 28 to 507 of the family's 1533-position model. The record is from RNAcentral.